Long non-coding RNA from Myotis myotis, 562 nucleotides. RefSeq lists it as uncharacterized. The transcript is spliced from 3 exons. The record is from RefSeq and is a predicted model, not a curated record. Lineage: Eukaryota; Metazoa; Chordata; Mammalia; Chiroptera; Vespertilionidae.
UUCAGAUCCCACGGCUCAGUCCUAGGAGCCCGCGGGGGCGACGGGAGAGGCACAGCGUGGGGGUCUCUGGCACCCUCCCUCCUCCGAUGGAAUUAGCCGAGAGUGCGGGAGGGGACAGAGUGAUGGAGACAAUUGUUUCAAGAAUCUCCUACUUGUAGACUGCGUCAGCUUUGAAGGCUUUUCUCCAUUCACGACGUGCUUAACUGUGUGGCCUUGGGGAAAUGGAUUGAUCCAGGUGUCAGGUUUCCCACCUGUGAAUCAGAGUCCACAGCAUCACAGGGCUGUAGUGAGGAUCAGAGCAUAAGAUUUGGAGUCAGAACCUGGAUGUGUGUGGUCUUCCACUGACAACUUCUGAGCUUCAAUGUCAUCAUCUGAAAAGGGAGGAUGUUAGUGUUGUCCUCUUAGUGUUACUGUACCAGAGGAGAUCCUGUAUGGGAAAAGCGCAUUGCUCAAUGUAAAUAAAUGUUGGCUGAUGUAUUUAGGACAGUGCUUUGGUUUCUAAUUCUUUUUGCAGCAUUUCUAUUUAUGUGGUGCUUUCCCCUGUAAUAUCCGGUUCAGUGUG